UACGUAGGUGACAAGCGUUGUCCGGAUUUACUGGGCGUAAAGAGCGCGCAGGCGGUCGUUCAAGUCGAGUGUGAAAGCCCCCCGGCUCAACUGGGGAGGGUCAUUCGAUACUGAUCGACUCGAAGGCAGGAGAGGGUAGUGGAAUUCCCGGUGUAGUGGUGAAAUGCGUAGAUAUCGGGAGGAACACCAGUGGCGAAGGCGACUACCUGGCCUGUUCUUGACGCUGAGGCGCGAAAGCUAGGGGAGCAAACGGGG
Molecule: ribosomal RNA, 255 nt
Filed under: uncultured bacterium
Lineage: Bacteria
Description: partial 16S ribosomal RNA
Rfam family: Bacterial small subunit ribosomal RNA
Source: RNAcentral